Non-coding RNA from Parelaphostrongylus tenuis, 73 nucleotides. The record is from the annotation of a GenBank genome assembly. NCBI's taxonomy places the organism in Eukaryota, Metazoa, Nematoda, Chromadorea, Rhabditida, Metastrongylidae.
UUCGGUGAUGUAGUGGUAGCACGCGCUUCUGGUAUGGGUGAAACGCGGGUUCAACCCCCGCAUAGGGUCGAAU